UACAGAGGUCUCAAGCGUUGUUCGGAUUCCUUGGGCGUAAAGGGUGCGUAGGCGGCGCGGUAAGUCGGGUGUGAAAUCUCGGAGCUUAACUCCGAAACUGCAUUCGAUACUGCCGUGCUUGAGGACUGGAGAGGAGACUGGAAUUUACGGUGUAGCGGUGAAAUGCGUAGAUAUCGAGAGGAACACCGGUGGCGAAGGCGGCCAACUGGACGAACACUGACGCUGAGACUCGAAAGCGUGGGGAGCAAACAGG
Molecule: ribosomal RNA, 253 nt
Filed under: uncultured bacterium
Lineage: Bacteria
Description: partial 16S ribosomal RNA
Rfam family: Bacterial small subunit ribosomal RNA
Source: RNAcentral